UGGGGAAUUUUGGACAAUGGGCGAAAGCCUGAUCCAGCAAUGCCGCGUGUGUGAAGAAGGCCUUCGGGUUGUAAAGCACUUUUGUCCGGAAAGAAAUCCUCUGGGUUAAUACCUCGGGGGGAUGACGGUACCGGAAGAAUAAGCACCGGCUAACUACGUGCCAGCAGCCGCGGUAAUACGUAGGGUGCAAGCGUUAAUCGGAAUUACUGGGCGUAAAGCGUGCGCAAGCGGUUUUGUAAGACGGAUGUGAAAUCCCCCGGGCUUAACCUGGGAACUGCAUUCGUGACUGCAAGGCUAGAGUAUGGCAGAGGGGGGUAGAAUUCCACGUGUAGCAGUGAAAUGCGUAGAGAUGUGGAGGAAUACCGAUGGCGAAGGCAGCCCCCUGGGCCAAUACUGACGCUCAUGCACGAAAGCGUGGGGAGCAAACAGGAUUAGAUACCCUGGUAGUCCACGCCCUAAACGAUGUCAACUAGUUGUUGGGGAUUCAUUUCCUUAGUAACGUAGCUAACGCGUGAAGUUGACCGCCUGGGGAGUACGGUCG
RNAcentral lists this ribosomal RNA (541 nucleotides) under uncultured bacterium. RNAcentral describes it as "partial 16S ribosomal RNA". It matches the Rfam family "Bacterial small subunit ribosomal RNA", at positions 355 to 888 of the family's 1533-position model. The record is from RNAcentral.